Panicum virgatum (switchgrass) is the source of this 937-nucleotide long non-coding RNA. RefSeq lists it as uncharacterized. NCBI's taxonomy places the organism in Eukaryota, Viridiplantae, Streptophyta, Magnoliopsida, Poales, Poaceae. The transcript is spliced from 4 exons. The record is from RefSeq and is a predicted model, not a curated record.
AAAUUUCUGCAGACCUGACGAGUGCACACAAACUCCUUUUUUCCCCUUUCAUUCCACAAACAUGGCAAAGUUGCUAUUUGGUGUGAUCAGUGAUGCAAUUGCCUGUGAUGAUCAACUGAGAUGACCAGUCAGUCCUUUCAAUGUCGGCUUUGGCUUUGAUCUUCAUGCUUCUGAAUGUUGGUGCAUUUGCAGUGGCAUAAUGAGGAAAAGGACAAGCUUAUGGUAUGAAUCAGACCAGCCCUGGAUAAAUUUCAUUAAUUGUCAUCUAGUUGUUUCAUGAAAUGGCUUGAAGUUCUCAGAAUGUUUUAGGUGUGAACCUCUGACCUCAAUUCCAAAUCAGGGAGCAUGAUCCACAACAAUAAUGGUCACCCGGGCAAGAUGAAUAUGGAGCUGAGGUCUUCCUUUUAUUACAGAGAUACAUAGCUCUCCUGCGUGUUCGGGGGAAAAAAAUGGAGCUGAGGUCAUACAAGUCAACAUUUCAAGGUUGGCACUUGGCACGCUGCAGGCAUAAAUAUGGCCUUUCUUACGGUGUACGACUUUUGGCGGUGCUUAAGCGAAUAUGGCAGGGCGCUUGGCUUUGAAAACAUACUGGUUGGUUGUGUACAAAGUGCAGAGCUUCACUGUUACAGCUGAAACUAUUGUCAGCACGCAGGCGGUGAAGCUGUCGAAAGGGUAAAGGUUUGCUAGAACAUGUCAUCUAGUUAUUUUAACCAGGAUAGAAGGAUCAUGGAAAAUCCUGAUAGUUGACUGUCAACAGAGAAGAGAGAUCAUCACAACUUUCAGCACCCUUUGCUUAUCUCUCUUCGACAGAGUCCAUCCUGCCGUAUCACUCCCCUUCUUGUUUCCCUUCUUUUUUUCACUCUUUGAUUGUCUUAAUGAUGGGAUACGUCACAUUGCCUGUUCCUUCUACUAUUUAAAAAGAGUCAUUUUCCCCUAA